Molecule: non-coding RNA, 253 nt
Organism: Homo sapiens (human)
Lineage: Eukaryota; Metazoa; Chordata; Mammalia; Primates; Hominidae
Source: Rfam
GCUGGGCGUGGUGGCGUGUGCCUGUAAUCCCAGCUACUCGGGAGGCUGAAGCAGGAGAAUUGCCUGAACCAGGGAGGCAGAGGUUGCAGUGAGCUGAGAUUGCACCACUGCACUCCAGCCUGGGCGACGAGAGUGAAACUCCGUCUUAAAAAAAAAGAAAGUCUUACUCUGUCGUCCAGGCUGGAGUGCAGUGGCACAAUCUCGGCUCACUGCAACCUCUGCCUCCCGGGUUCAGGCGAUUCUCCUGCUUCAG